This 253-nucleotide ribosomal RNA is filed under the name uncultured bacterium. RNAcentral describes it as "partial 16S ribosomal RNA". It matches the Rfam family "Bacterial small subunit ribosomal RNA", at positions 524 to 776 of the family's 1533-position model. The record is from RNAcentral.
GACGUAGGGGGCCAGCGUUGUUCGGAAUUACUGGGUGUAAAGGGUUCGUAGGCGGUGCGGCAAGUUGGGAGUGAAAUCUCUGGGCUUAACCCAGAGGCUGCUUCCAAAACUGCUGUGCUUGAGUGUGGGAGAGGCGCGUGGAAUUGCAGGUGUAGCGAUGAAAUGCGUAGAUAUCUGCAGGAACACCCGUGGCGAAAGCGGCGCGCUGGACCACUACCGACGCUGAGGAACGAAAGCUAGGGGAGCAAACAGG